UGGGGAAUAUUGGACAAUGGGCGCAAGCCUGAUCCAGCCAUGCCGCGUGAGUGAUGAAGGCCCUAGGGUUGUAAAGCUCUUUUGUGCGGGAAGAUAAUGACGGUACCUGAAGAAGAAGCUGCGGCUAACUACGUGCCAGCAGCCGCGGUAAUACGUAGGCAGCAAGCGUUGUUCGGAGUUACUGGGCGUAAAGAGUGUGUAGGCGGUUCUCUAAGUUCGGUGUGAAAUCUCCCGGCUCAACUGGGAGGGUGCGCCGGAAACUGGAGGGCUUGAGUAUGGGAGAGGAAAGCGGAAUUCCUGGUGUAGCGGUGAAAUGCGUAGAUAUCAGGAGGAACACCUGCGGUGUAGACAGCUUUCUGGACCAUCACUGACGCUGAGACACGAAAGCGUGGGUAGCAAACAGGAUUAGAUACCCGGGUAGUCC
Molecule: ribosomal RNA, 424 nt
Filed under: uncultured bacterium
Lineage: Bacteria
Description: bacterial SSU rRNA
Rfam family: Bacterial small subunit ribosomal RNA
Source: RNAcentral